UACGGAGGGUGCAAGCGUUAUCCGGAUUCACUGGGUUUAAAGGGUGCGUAGGUGGGCAAGUAAGUCAGUGGUGAAAUCUCCGGGCUUAACCCGGAAACUGCCAUUGAUACUAUUUGUCUUGAAUACUGUGGAGGUCAGCGGAAUAUGUCAUGUAGCGGUGAAAUGCUUAGAUAUGACAUAGAACACCAAUUGCGAAGGCAGCUCACUACGCGAAUAUUGACACUGAGGCACGAAAGCGUGGGGAUCAAACAGG
Molecule: ribosomal RNA, 253 nt
Filed under: uncultured bacterium
Lineage: Bacteria
Description: partial 16S ribosomal RNA
Rfam family: Bacterial small subunit ribosomal RNA
Source: RNAcentral